CCUACGGGAGGCAGCAGUAGGGAAUUUUCGGCAAUGGGGGGAACCCUGACCGAGCAACGCCGCGUGAACGAAGAAGUUAUUCGUAAUGUAAAGUUCUUUUAACAGGGAAGAAAGAGAAAUUUGACGGUACCUGAAGAAUAAGCUCCGGCUAACUACGUGCCAGCAGCCGCGGUAAUACGUAGGGAGCGAGCGUUAUCCGGAAUUAUUGGGCGAAAAGGGUGCGUAGAUGGCAUAGUAAGUCUUUUGUAAAAAUGCUGGGCUCAACCCAGUAGGGCAAAAGAUACUGCAAAGCUAGAGUAUGACAGAGGCAAGUGGAACUACAUGUGUAGCGGUAAAAUGCGUAAAUAUAUGUAAGAACACCAGUGGCGAAGGCGGCUUGCUGGGUCAAUACUGACAUUGAGGCACGAAAGCGUGGGGAGCAAACAGGAUUAGAUAGCCUAGUAGUC
Molecule: ribosomal RNA, 446 nt
Filed under: uncultured bacterium
Lineage: Bacteria
Description: partial 16S ribosomal RNA
Rfam family: Bacterial small subunit ribosomal RNA
Source: RNAcentral